Molecule: ribosomal RNA, 486 nt
Filed under: uncultured bacterium
Lineage: Bacteria
Description: partial 16S ribosomal RNA
Rfam family: Bacterial small subunit ribosomal RNA
Source: RNAcentral
AUUGAACGCUGGCGGCAUGCCUUACACAUGCAAGUCGAACGGCAGCACGGGUGCUUGCACCUGGUGGCGAGUGGCGAACGGGUGAGUAAUACAUCGGAACAUGUCCUGGAGUGGGGGAUAGCCCGGCGAAAGCCGGAUUAAUACCGCAUACGAUCUACGGAUGAAAGCGGGGGACCUUCGGGCCUCGCGCUAUAGGGUUGGCCGAUGGCUGAUUAGCUAGUUGGUGGGGUAAAGGCCUACCAAGGCGACGAUCAGUAGCUGGUCUGAGAGGACGACCAGCCACACUGGGACUGAGACACGGCCCAGACUCCUACGGGAGGCAGCAGUGGGGAAUUUUGGACAAUGGGCGAAAGCCUAAUCCAGCAAUGCCGCGUGUGUGAAGAAGGCCUUCGGGUUGUAAAGCACUUUUGUCCGGAAAGAAAUCCUUGGCCCUAAUACGGUCGGGGGAUGACGGUACCGGAAGAAUAAGCACCGGCUAACUACGUG